UUGUAUAAUCUCAGUGAAAAUACCUAAAAAUAUAGAAUACAGAAAACCAAAAAAUAUGAAGAAAUAACAAACAAGAAAGCGACAUUGGUCUUACUCACAUAUAUGGCACAAUGGCUAUCGAGAGACACUAAUCCACUUAGUAUAAGACAAACACCAUUGUUGAUAUAUAAUUUCAAAAAGCAUCAAUACUUUUAUUUUCCAAUCCUCACACAGUAAGUAUCACCUCUUGUAGAUGCAGAGAAGACUAUUUUCAACAUUUGUUGGCUUCUAAUUUGACAAAAUCCAAACAUAAAUCAGAUUCUACAGGAAGCCAAGACUAUUUUCCAAA
Molecule: long non-coding RNA, 328 nt
Organism: Arabidopsis thaliana (thale cress)
Lineage: Eukaryota; Viridiplantae; Streptophyta; Magnoliopsida; Brassicales; Brassicaceae
Product: other RNA
Exons: 1
Source: RefSeq